GAUGCUCCCAGCAGUUGCUCUGACACUGCCCCGCCCUCACCUGGGGCUGUGAGUCACCGAUGGGGGGCGGGGAGGGCAGGGGAUCUGGGAGUGAGAUGCCGCCACCUGCCUGUUGAUAGGACGCAGCCUUGGGGUCACUGUGUCAGAGCGGGAAUGUGCAAACGGGGACACUCUGCCCCCGGCCGGGACGGCAAAGAGCCCACCCCGCCCCCCGGGCCAGCUCUGGUCAACGGCCGGGCCCCCGAGUGGCCUCUGGGAAAGAAGGAAAGGAAGGAAGACAGGGAAAGGAAGAGGGAGGCUGAGGCAACACCCACAUCUCCACCUCCUGGUCCCGUAUGACUGAUGCCCGGGUGUCUCAAACCUUUCAUCUCGUGGUCUCCCCAUCACUGUUCUCGUACUCACUAUUUCUCUUUAAAUAGACUCACCUAAUGGGAAAACCAGCCACAAAUCCAAGGGUCUGUGAUCCCGAGUCGCCUCUGGGGAUCGCCUCUGAGGCACCCGUCUGUGCUUCAGCAAGGACGCCCUGCACCCCACUGACCGCGGGCCGCUAGCCUGGGAAUGAGGCCCUCCCCAGCAAGUCAGGGGCUGGGGGAGCCUUGAGGAAACAGCUCAGGUGAGCCGGCACUGAGAGGGGGUUGAAACCUUCCAUCGGGUCAAAGGAAAGUCGGGUGACCCAGCGAUUCCACUCCCCAGUGUGUACCCCAAAGCGGUGAAAGUUGGUGUUCAAACCAGCACUGUUCACAACGGCGAAGAGUGGAAACGAUAAUGUCCGUCCAUGGACAAAUGGACCAAAAGACAGCAGACCCGCACCGUGGAACACUAUGCAGCCACGAAGAGGAACAAAGUGCUGGCAUUCGCAGGGAUCCACCUCGAAAACAUGGUCAGUGACACAAGCCAGUCACCGGAGGCCGCAUACUAUCGGAUUCUAUGAAGUGUCGAGGACAGGCAGGUCCACGGAGACAGGAACUAGACGGUGUUGCCCAGGCUGGGGUAGGGCACGGGCAUGACUGCUGAUGGCUACGGGGCAUGUUUCUCGGGGAGGAGAAUGUUAUGGAACCAGACAGAGGUGGUGGUUGUACACGACUGUGAAUUUACUAAAUGCCACCGAAUCGUACACUUUAAAGUGGUCGGACUUAGGUUGUGCGAAUUUUACCGCAACUAAAAAAAAUAAUCCUUUAGGGGUGUCUGGGUGGCUCAGUCAGUUGAGCAUCUGACUUCGGCUCGGGUCAUGAUCUUGCGGUCUGUGGGUUCGAGCCCCGCGUCGGGCUCUGUGCUGAUGGCUCAGAGCCUGGAGCCUGCUUUGGAUUGUGUCUCCCUCUCUCUCUGCCCCUCCCCCAGUUGUGCUCUGUCUCUCUCUCUCUCUCUCUCUCAAAAAUAA
Molecule: long non-coding RNA, 1378 nt
Organism: Panthera uncia (snow leopard)
Lineage: Eukaryota; Metazoa; Chordata; Mammalia; Carnivora; Felidae
Exons: 3
Source: RefSeq, a predicted model, not a curated record